RNAcentral lists this ribosomal RNA (253 nucleotides) under uncultured bacterium. RNAcentral's name for it is "partial 16S ribosomal RNA". It matches the Rfam family "Bacterial small subunit ribosomal RNA", at positions 524 to 776 of the family's 1533-position model. The record is from RNAcentral.
UACGUAGGUGGCGAGCGUUGUCCGGAUUUACUGGGCGUAAAGAGCGCGCAGGCGGUCGUAUAAGUCGAAUGUGAAAGCCCCUGGCUCAACUAGGGAGAGUCAUUCGAUACUGUUCGACUCGAAGGCAGGAGAGGGAAGUGGAAUUCCGGGUGUAGUGGUGAAAUGCGUAGAGAUCCGGAGGAACACCAGUGGCGAAGGCGACACGCUGGGCCGUACCUGACACUGAUGCGCGACAGCAUGGGGAGCAAACAGG